GUGCUCCUCCGAUCUGGCAGCAGUGGGGAAUUUUCCGCAAUGGGCGAAAGCCUGACGGAGCAAUGCCGCGUGGAGGUGGAAGGCCUACGGGUCGUCAACUUCUAUUCUCGGAGAAGAAACAAUGACGGUAUCUGAGGAAUAAGCAUCGGCUAACUCUGUGCCAGCAGCCGCGG
This is a long non-coding RNA of Triticum aestivum (bread wheat), 173 nucleotides long. RefSeq lists it as uncharacterized. The record is from RefSeq and is a predicted model, not a curated record. The transcript is spliced from 3 exons. NCBI's taxonomy places the organism in Eukaryota, Viridiplantae, Streptophyta, Magnoliopsida, Poales, Poaceae.